ACGGGCCCAAUAACUAUUAUUUUUUGUCCUAAUGUAUGUGACACAGAUAAAAUAUAGUGAGUUAUUUAAAUUUAAUAUGAUUUUUAAAUAUUUUAAGUUGUUAAUAAUGUAAUUUAUAAUAUUUUUACGUAAUUUGUAAAUACUUAAUAUAUAUUACUCCACUUGUCUCAAUGUAUGUAGCAUAGAUAAAAUUUCAAGAGUUAAUCAAAUGUUGUUAAUUGUUAAGAUUUACAAUACAUUUUACGUAGCUUUCAGUAAUUUGACAUUAAAUAAUACAUAUUACUACUUUUGUCUCAUUUUAUGUGACAUUGAUAGAUUAAUUUUAAGAAUCAGACAAUUUCUUUUUUUGUGCAUUUUUAAUAAAUAUUUUAAGUUGUCAAUUAUCACGAUUUAUUGUAUUUUAUACAUAAUUUUUAACGAUAGAUUAAUUUCAAGAAUCAAUCGAAA
RNAcentral lists this long non-coding RNA (447 nucleotides) under Solanum tuberosum (potato). RNAcentral's name for it is "long non-coding RNA (STUB_LNC004590)". Lineage: Eukaryota; Viridiplantae; Streptophyta; Magnoliopsida; Solanales; Solanaceae. The record is from RNAcentral.